RNAcentral lists this ribosomal RNA (126 nucleotides) under Bos taurus (domestic cattle). RNAcentral also lists the same sequence under 3 other names. Lineage: Eukaryota; Metazoa; Chordata; Mammalia; Artiodactyla; Bovidae. The record is from RNAcentral.
GUCUACGGCCAUACCACCCUGAACGCGCCCGAUCUCGUCUGAUCUCAGAAGCUAAGCAGGGUCGGGCCUGGUUAGUACUUGGAUGGGAGAAAAUUAUUCUUGAACAGAAACAAAGAGCUGCCAGUG